AUUGAACGCUGGCGGCAGGCCUAACACAUGCAAGUCGAGCGGAUGAAGGGAGCUUGCUCCUGGAUUCAGCGGCGGACGGGUGAGUAAUGCCUAGGAAUCUGCCUGGUAGUGGGGGAUAACGUCCGGAAACGGGCGCUAAUACCGCAUACGUCCUGAGGGAGAAAGUGGGGGAUCUUCGGACCUCACGCUAUCAGAUGAGCCUAGGUCGGAUUAGCUAGUUGGUGGGGUAAAGGCCUACCAAGGCGACGAUCCGUAACUGGCCUGAGAGGAUGAUCAGUCACACUAGAACUGAGACACGGUCCAGACUCCUACGGGAGGCAGCAGUGGGGAAUAUUGGACAGUGGGCGAAAGCCUGAUCCAGCCAUGCCGCGUGUGUGAAGAGGGUCUUCGGAUUGUAAAGCACUUUAAGUUGGGAGGAAGGGCAGUAAGUUAAUACCUUGCUGUUUUGACGUUACCAACAGAAUAAGCACCGGCUAACUUCGUG
This 484-nucleotide ribosomal RNA is filed under the name uncultured bacterium. Its description in RNAcentral is "partial 16S ribosomal RNA". It matches the Rfam family "Bacterial small subunit ribosomal RNA", at positions 30 to 507 of the family's 1533-position model. The record is from RNAcentral.